This 87-nucleotide transfer RNA is filed under the name Planctomycetota bacterium. RNAcentral describes it as "tRNA-Ser". It matches the Rfam family "tRNA". From Rfam's summary of the family: Transfer RNA (tRNA) molecules are approximately 80 nucleotides in length. Their secondary structure includes four short double-helical elements and three loops (D, anti-codon, and T loops). The record is from RNAcentral. Lineage: Bacteria; Pseudomonadati; Planctomycetota.
GGAGAGGUGCCGGAGUGGUCGAACGGGCCGGUUUCGAAAACCGGUGUCCUCGCAAGGGGACCCAGGGUUCGAAUCCCUGCCUCUCCG